UACAGAGGGUGCGAGCGUUGUCCGGAAUCACUGGGCGUAACGGGCGCGUAGGUGGCGGGAUAAGUGUGUGGUGAAAGCUCGGGGCUCAACCCCGAGUCUGCCAUGCAGACUGUCUUGCUUGAGCGUAGUAGAGGCAGGUGGAAUUCCGGGUGGAGCGGUGGAAUGCGUAGAGAUCCGGAAGAACAGCGGUGGCGAAGGCGGCCUGCUGGGCUACUGCUGACACUGAGGCGCGACAGCGUGGGAAGCAAACAGG
This 253-nucleotide ribosomal RNA is filed under the name uncultured bacterium. RNAcentral describes it as "partial 16S ribosomal RNA". It matches the Rfam family "Bacterial small subunit ribosomal RNA", at positions 524 to 776 of the family's 1533-position model. The record is from RNAcentral.